ACAUUCCUCCAGUCUGGUGGAGCAUGGACAGUGGAAAUUUCUGGAGGAUCAGUAUGUGGUUACUGGAAAAAGAAAUUCAGGAGUUUGUGGUGUUCAUAAUCGACCCCAAAAAGCUCAGAUGAAAGCUCAAGCCAAGGUUCCAGGUUCACAACCAGAAGUGACGUCCAUCCCAGAACCGCUGACUCCUCAAGCUGCAACAGAACUCCAUGUUUCAGAAACAGAAUCUCCAAAAAUGUACAUUCCAGAAGAAAGGAAAAGGCCAGGAACUUCAGCUCCAGAAGAAGUCAUAGCUCCAAAAGAAUGUAGAGCUCCAGAAGACAUUAGAGCUCCACAACAGACGGUAGCUCCAGAACUAAGAGAAGCAUCAACACUGGGAGCUCCAGAGAUGAUAGAAGUUGAAAUUCUAGGAGAUUUUGCAGUUACAGAGGUACCAUCACUACAAAUUUUAGACGUGAUUACACCACCAAAAAUGGAAGUAGUUCUAGAGAUAUCAGCAUCUCAGAAAAUUUCCACUUCAGAAGUGAUGAAAAAACCAGAAGUUUCAUUUUCAGAAAUGACCAUACUAGAAAGAAAGGAAGCACCAGAAAAUAUGACAACAGUUUCAGAAUUAACAACUCAAAAAGAAACUCUAGAAGUACCAUCCCCAGACGUUUCAGUUCCAGAAAUAGAAGCUCCAGUUAUGGAAGUCCCAAAAGUACAAUCAGUAGAAGCUCCAGAUGUGACACCACCAAAAAUGGAAGCAGUUCCAGAAGUGAUGGGAGCCCACGUAGUGACAGCAACUCUAGAUACUCUGGUAUCACCAGAAGUGAUAGCACCUCCACAAACGUCAAUUCCAGAAAUAGUAGAAGCUCCAGAUGUCACAGAAUCACCAAAGUUUACUGCUAGUCUGGAAAAAAUGGAAGCUCCUGAAAUUUUACCUCUGAAACUGACAGCAUGCUCAGAAUGGUCAGCUCCAGAAACGGUGGAAGCACCAACAGCUGUAAAUGAAGUAGAAGUAACAUCAAAUAAAGAAUUGGAGACUUCAGAAGAUACCAAAGUUCCUAAUGUGAUGAAACCCCAAAAAUUACCAUGCUCAGAAAUGAAAGAUCCAAAGGAUUUAGAUUGUGAUCUAGAUGUGACAGAACCAGAUGUGAUAUUAGCUCCAGAAAUGGAAGCACAGGAGACGACAGCAGAUGUUCCAGAAGUUUUGUCUGAAGUUCCAAUUAACUUUCCAUCAGAAGAACCUGCAGUUCAGGAGAACAUCAUCAGCACUGCAUGAACACAGCUGCUGUUCUGAUGAAACGGAGAAACACGAUGACAUCAUCAAUCAGUGCUGGCCAAUCACGCACAGGCUAUGUGUUAAUCCAGUCUUCACACUUCCCCCUGUCCACACAGAGUGCUGUUAUACUUUAUUACACUGAGGCUCCACCCACACCUGUACACAUCACAUUUUAACCCUAAUCACAGUUUUCUGUUUUCCCAUCCACAUGAAAAGGGUUUUCAAAAAUCUUCAUCCUCAUGAAAAUGCAGAAUUGAUUUGUCCACACCAGCGCAGUGAGAGUACGCUGUACAGUGUUACAUUAACCUCUGCAGGAAUGACGUUAGGAGUUGUGUGUUGAAUGUUAGAGGAGAAGAAAUGUAGAAAACACCAUGCUGAAAGCUGUAAAAGUUAAAACUAUAAAGUGAGGAUUCAGGUGUGUGAAGUGAUGAUGAGGUGGAACUGAUGUUUAAAUCUGCAGUGCUGAAUGUCUGCCUCUCUAUCGCCAUCUCUGUUUGAAACAUAAAAUUGCAAGUUACUUGCGGAGUUAUUUUUUUUGGUUUGUGCUUUGGCACCACUCCUCUGCGUGGAGGAAGCUGGUGGUUUGAGGUAUUCGUAUGGAUUGUCUGUGAUCACACAGCGGAUCUGUAACUGUACAUCCACAUAACAGUAAGAAGUAACAUAUCUGUUGCUUUUGUUAUGACCAAAUGAACAUGUUUUAAAUAAGGUAAAUGUUUUAAAUAAAUCACUCUACUCAGUCAAGUCAUUGCAAAUUAUUAUUAGUAAAAAAUUGAAUGUUGCCAAAUCAUCAUUGUGUAACUAGCCGUAAUUUGUGUGUAUUAACGUUAUCUUUAGAUUUCACGUUCUAGGCAGUCUAAUCUCUUUCAGUUUACUUGUUGCAUGUUUUAAUGAAAACGAUUAAUUUUAAGUGUACUACAUAAGGAUUUCAAGCAAAUUUAUGCUUUUGACUUCAAAAAGCAAUUAGCUUUUUGUCUGUUUAUUACCCUUUCCCCUUGAAAGACAAAACCGAUCUGAUUCAGCUCUGAUGCUUAACACUGGAGGUGACGGAGGAUUCGGUUUUCUUGGAGUAGAGGUGAAUUGCUGUCUCUCAUGUCUAGCAGAAAAUAAGUGCAGUUUAUUACACUGACCACAACAAAACAAACAAAACCCAACAUAGGAAACUCCAUACCCAGCUGAAUCAAGCAAACAAGUGUGCUAAUGUUAGCUAGCUACAUAUUGAGCCACUGAAAUGUCUGAUCUGUUCAGCAGAAAAAAAAGCAUCUCUGCAUCAGUCUUCAGUUCCUUCAGUUUCACCACCGCUCAAAACCAUGCUGAUAUUUAUUCUUGUUUUAGCACUGCUCUGUCACUUUCCCUUUAUAAUUGCAGGCUCUCCGCAGUUCCAGGUUUCUUCAUUUAGACAACAGCUGAUUCCCCAGAUGUUAACCAUGAUUGUGUUUAGCAAGUGUGUGUGUGUGAGAUUUUGUGUUGAAAAUGACGGUUUGUGUUUGUACUAAUCACAGGACUGGGAUCUGCUGCUUGAACCCAGGUUUUAUAUCAUAUAAUAUUAUAUAAACAGAACAGACUUUCAGGAAGAGGUGAGACGUACAGUUCUGCAUGUAGUCUGAGAUUCAAGAUUUUAAUCAGAUCCCAAGUAACUAGUAGCUUUCUACUCGAGUCGUCUUCUCAUCGGACUCGUUAUUACUCUUACACACUUCAUUAUUUACAUUAUUAAUAUUAUUAACAUUAUUAACAUUAUUAACAUUAUUAAUAUUAUUACUGUUACGCUUACUUCAGUAAUCAUUUUUAUAACUGGUUUUACUUGUACUUGAAUAAAAAUUUUGGCUACUCUACCCACUUCUGCUUAACAUUCAGAAUGUCAGUGUUCUAACUUAAACUGAUAAAAACAGAUUAAAGUAUCUGUACUGUGUGUGUAUGUGUGUGUGUGUGUGUGUGAGAGAGAGAGAGAG
Molecule: long non-coding RNA, 3204 nt
Organism: Ictalurus punctatus (channel catfish)
Lineage: Eukaryota; Metazoa; Chordata; Actinopteri; Siluriformes; Ictaluridae
Source: Ensembl